RNAcentral lists this transfer RNA (74 nucleotides) under Streptomyces qinzhouensis. Its description in RNAcentral is "tRNA-Asp". It matches the Rfam family "tRNA". From Rfam's summary of the family: Transfer RNA (tRNA) molecules are approximately 80 nucleotides in length. Their secondary structure includes four short double-helical elements and three loops (D, anti-codon, and T loops). The record is from RNAcentral. Lineage: Bacteria; Bacillati; Actinomycetota; Actinomycetes; Kitasatosporales; Streptomycetaceae.
GGGGUCGUAGCACAGAGGUAAUGCGCCUACGCGUCAUGGAGGAGGGCGCCGGUUCGAAUCCGGCCGCCCCGCCC